Rhincodon typus (whale shark) is the source of this 3829-nucleotide long non-coding RNA. RefSeq lists it as uncharacterized. The transcript is spliced from 3 exons. Lineage: Eukaryota; Metazoa; Chordata; Chondrichthyes; Orectolobiformes; Rhincodontidae. The record is from RefSeq and is a predicted model, not a curated record.
CUUGCUUCCUGCUGGUCUGGAGCUACUGUCAAUCAACCAGGUCCCAUUGGGAGCUGGAGCGCACCCAGUGCUGGACCCAUGGUUGCACCUAGUUGACCACAUUAUGUUGUAACUUCUUGAGGACCAUCGGAGGAAUGGGGAGCUAAUGAUUGAGCUGGUGGUUGGGUUCCGUAGAUUCAGAAACACACCGAGAUGAGGAUAUGCCCAUCGAAGCAUUGAAUCCUGUUUCGCUGAGAAAGAAAAGCAUGUGUGUGUUCUUACAAAAGACAAACUCUACUGAAAGCCCCUAUGGUUCUACAAACAUUUUACAGGAAGGAAAAGGACAUAUCAACUGCAACUUCAAACCACUUGCAGAUACAAUCACUGAGUCCUUAGAGACUUUUCCUCAAAAUCUGCACUUUUGAACUUCAUCAAGUUUAACCUCUCCUACUUUGAAAGCUGCCUUUUUCUGCAUGCUAGGGGCGUGACUGUAUGUGUGUUGGUGGAAAGUAGAACAUACGUGUAUAUAUUAGUAGUUUUAAUAUUUUCUACCCUGAGUAAGUAUUAGCACAAUCAAACUAACUCUUAUGCUGUUUAACUCAAGAAUGCAAAGCUGACUUAAUUCUUAGACAUUACUCACAGCCCGCUAUAUACAACUUCAGUCUGUUUCCCUCAAACCAGGAGUGGGGAAAAGAGUAAAAUCACUUAAUCCUCAUCACCUGGUUGACCUCUAGCCAUUUUACAUUCAGAUGGCGAUUAAUGAAAUUUGCAGGAACUUGACAAUGUGAGAAUGCAUUCAGCAAUGGGCGCUUUAUCAAUUUAAACCCUCAGAGAUGACCUUCCUAAUGACGGUAACACUUGUGAGUGUGGUUGCUCAUAUCUGGAUGUUACAACAGUUCUCGACUGCUGGGAAGCUGAUUGCAGUUAGCAGAUACUGUCUGUUGCUCUGUUUCCUCUUCAUGCAAACUCAACUGGAAAAAGUUAUUGCAUGUUUAUCAUGCACACCAGGGCUCAUUGGUUCCUCGUAGCAAAGAUAAAUAAAGAAGUGACACACUUGGAAAAUAUUUUGGAUUUGUCAAGUUGGCUGUGGAAGCCAAGCCUUUGCUUCAGGUGUCAAGUUAAUUUUGAUUUUUGACACUCAACAAAAUCAAGGUUAUGUGGAAUGCAAUACCAUAGUGCAAGACCAACAGCCAUGUAAUAUUCCUCAUACACUACCUCCAGAUCUGUAAUAUUACUGUAGCUUACAAAAACAAAGUUGCUGGGAAAGCUCGGCAGGUUUGGCAGCAUCAGUGAAGGAUAAAACAGAGAUAACGUUUCGGGUCCGAUGACCCUUCCUCAAAAGGGUUCUGAGGAAGGGUCACUGGACCCGAAACGUUAUAUCUGUUUUAUCCUUCACAGAUGCUGCUAAACCUGCUGAGCUUUUCCAGCAACUUUGUUUUUGUUCCUGAUUUACAGCAUCCGCAGUUCUUUCGGUUUUUAUUACUAUAGUUUACACUGCCUACAAUUCUGUAAUAUUACUAUCCACAAACAUAGAUGUGUAACACUGCUGUACACUAUCUACAGUUCUGUAACAUUACAAUGCCUACCAUUCUGUAAUAUUACAACCACUGAUCUAUUAUAUAACUAGACACUACCUACAGAUCUAUAAUUCUACAAUAGUUACGAAUUACAAGAAUUAGCUUUACUGUCACAUGUACUCACAUCAGUACAGUGAAAAGUUUGCUUGCCACUUAUGGUGUCAUCUUAGCUACCAAGGUAACUAGGUACAGGUUCUUAAGUACAAAUUCUUAGGGAAAAAUAAUUAGAAAAAUAAAGAAAUUAAAAAGUCCAGCAAUAAAUUAGAAAAGUAGAGAAAUAAGUGUUUCAGAUUGGCAGUCCUUCCCACCCAGACCACACUGGAAUUCACCACAAGGUCAGAAGUUCAAGUCCAUGCUGAAGGCAGGAGUCUGCGCUGGCUUUCAUCUUGGACAUCGUCGAUGCCUCACCGAAACAGGAGGUAAAAAGAAAAAGUUUGCGAAAAGAGUGAGAGAAAAAAAGGAAAGAAAUUGAUGGAGCAGACAAGUUCCGGCUCAGGAAUCCUACCUGCGUCUAAAUUGGAGACUCUUUUUUAACAAUCCAUAUGAUGAUAUAAAAUAUGGACAAUUGAUCUUGAAUUCUGUUGUUUGAUUUAAUACUUGGAACUUCCAUGGACUGAAAUGAUUUUAAAAAUGAAAAAAAAUAUUGGCUGAAAAUGUCUAUAGGCAUCACCUGGCCAUACAGAUAGCCUAGGUUUCAAGAAACUUAAACAUUGGAAAUGGGGACACUUCUAACAUUAGUAUUACUGCCAGAAAGAAGAGGAAAAACACAUGAUGUUCCAGUGGUUUAUUGUUACAGGCAGCAGAUUCUGAAGACACAGCACUAACUCCAGGUUCAUCAGAAUGAAAAUGUGGUUAAAAAAAAAAUUGCCCUAAUUGUGGCAGUUUUUGUGACUGCAUGCUUCAGUGACAAUCCAGCUUGUCCCAGGAUUUUGUUGUUGUCCCAGUCGAAUUGGUGGUUCUCCUUAUCCACGUUGAUUGAGAUGAGUGAGUAUUGGUUGACCAGAGACAGGCAUGGAAAUUCCUAGAAGCCUGGCACUCCAAGAAGAAAGCCAUUAAUAAACACAUAGAACUCGACCCCAUAUACAUUCCACUACGAAGGAAAACCGGAAGUGAGGCAAUCCAUGGACUCCAAAGUUUAAAAACCAGGUGGGAAACCACACCGACGCUUCUUCGGAGGCUGCACUGAUGAUGUUACCCAGCAUGGCAACUAAAUGUCUGCGGAACAACAAACCAGCUUGGCGAGCCAACCAACCUCAACAACCACAACCCGAGCUACAAAUCUACUCCAAAACCUUAGAGUUACUUUCAUACUCUAUUUAUCCAAAUUAUACUGCAUCUGCCAUUGAUUUGCCCACUCACCCAACCUGUCCAGAUCAUGCUGAAGGAUCUCUGCAUCCUUGUCAUAGUCUAACCUCGUCUAUUUUCCUCUUCUUAAUCAAUCCCUUGGUCCUUCAUUGCUGAAUUCUAAACUGCUCCAAAUCCUCAGAUUUAUUAUUUUUCUUGGCCAAUCUUUAUGUUUUUUCCUUGGAUCAGAUACUAUUGCUUAUUUCCAUUGUAAGCCAUGGAUUGGCCCUCUUACCCGUUCUGGUUUUGGGACAGACAGGAAUAAACAGUUGUUACAGUUCCCCUAUGUUUUCCUUGACUGUUUGCCAUUGGCGCAGUGCCCUCAUGCAGUCCUUGAAUGUUUGCCAGCUGUACUUUAGCUUCCAGGGAACAGAGUGUUCUAAAAUUUCUUUAAACAGAGUCAGGUCGCGACCAGGAACGACAUAAUAGGAGCUUAAUGCACGGAUUGUGUCCUGCAGCAAUGGCAGUGAAUCAAGAGUAGGCUGGUGAAAGCAGGCCGGUGAGGCAGCCCAGAGCAAGACGCUGGCAGUGGCAUGUCAUGGGCUGGAAAGCCCAGAGUGGAGGCAUGGCGAGGGCUGUAAAGCCGAGUGGGACUGCAGCCGUGCAAAGGAAAGUUGGACAUUCUUAAGUUAUCUUUUUUUCCUUAUUUUAUUCUAGGUUAAUGUGAAUCAGGCCAUAUAUGUAUACACGUGACAAUAAAUGAUUCAAUGAGAUUUAGUUCUAAUGAGGAUUCAGAUACACUCAUUAAUGGCCUACUCCUACUCCUAUGUUAGGUGUGUGUCAGAGUGAUGGGACAGUGUUCCGAAUGGCCUCUUUUGUACAUGGAGCAUGAGCUGAAUCAAAGGAGGUGAUAAUAGGAUGGAUGGCAAAAACCUUGGUCAGAGAUGUACAGCAUGGAAACAGAUACUUCGGUCCCACUUGCCGAUGCA